GAACACAAGUUCAACAACUAUACCACCAAUACUGAUCUUCCCCACUCGCCACUCGUCAGCGAGACAAUGAGGAUCCAGUGCACUGCUCUUUGCAUUGUCCUAAUGAUAUGUCUUCAAACCUCUCAUCCUGCUAUCGUGGUAAGUAUAUAAUUUCUUUUGUACUUACAACAAUUCAACCCAUACGUGGUUUAUAAACUCCAAUUGUGGAUUCAUGCAGUUAUCGUAGUUAAUUAUCAUUUAUAUGGAUGCACUGAAGCGCGUUGCCAAACAAAAUGCUUGCAGUAUGCCAAUAAGUAUAACCAAGCGGUAAAGAGCUUCCAAUGUGUCAAGGCAGAUCUUUGCCACUGUGAGUGUUUUAACAAGCAGCAUCUGCCGUGUCACCAAAGUCAUGGGAUUAGUUGACGCAGAGGACGAUAAAAAUGAACUUUUUUUUGAAUAUAAUAUAUAGGAUUAAAACUGUCACCAACUAUGGAUAUGGAGGUUACAUGGAGGCAGACAAUGCCAUAUUGCUAGCCAUUGUAUGUGCUUUAUCCGUGACUUGUUUCCAUACAAUUAUAAUAAAAGUGAUUGCGCAUCUUUCCUAUACUUUUGUUUCACUCAAUGUAUUGGAUCCACUGUUUUGGUUACAACUAAGAUGCUAUUUGGAAGGUCAGUCUUAGAACCAAAAACCCUUGUAAAAUACAGGUCCAGAACAUUUUACAUCUGCCAUUGAAAAAAUGUGUUUGGAUAGAAGGUAAUACAACAUAAAUUACUACUGGUUUAGACAAAAACACCCAGAAAGGAAAAAGUCUUGUUCCAUGGUGACAAUUUUUUUUUGACCAAUGUCAGGCUCAGCCGCUGAUGAUUUGAUUGCUUCUCCUUCUUCCUCGGGCUGUAGGGCAAUCCGUUUUCAUUGGCACUAGCCUAACCGCUCUCCGAUGCCAUCCUACUUCGUCACCACCAGCCUCUCCCUCCCCCCCUCCUCCGCUUCUGACAAUCGCCCUGCUCUCCCUAUCUCCUCCACCGCCGCCAGUCGCCGGACUCUUCGAUGUUGACGCAGCUGCAGCUUACACUUGGUGGAUAUGCACCAGGAGAACAGCGCGAUCAGUAUGGCUGGGACUCAAUCUUGUUAAUUUCUGGGGAACUCAAUUGUUUAUUUACCAAACUGACAUCAAUUUCUCAGUACUAGGCGAUCAUCAUCUCCUUUUCCAGAAUAUAGUCCACUACUUACCAGAAGGUUGAAGCACCUCUAUCACAGGCAGAAAUUGAUACACGGUUUCUAGUGCACAAGGAAAGACAGGUGUAAAAAAGUUCAGCUCUAAAAAGAUUGCUAGGUUGCAAAACAGGCCCUCUCUGUCAUGGCCUGACUGCCAUGGCUCUAAUGCCUCUGUAAAUAGUUGCAUAAAAAACAAUUCAUAACUUUUCAAUAAACUCGGAUGAAGAAAACUUUAUAUCAAAAUUAUAGCCCUCGAUGCGGCUUUUGUAAUAAAAACUGUUUGAAUUGAAACCUUUUUGGGUCCCAAAAUAUUAUUGUAAGUUAAAGAUUUUGAAAGCUAAAAUUGAAAAUUACCAAACAAUCUUGGAUGUUGAUAUGAUCUAUAUGAAAGUUAUAGCUCUCAAUAGAAUCUACGACUUUGUAGUUCAAAGUUCUCUAUUUCAAGUUGUUUAGAGUCCCAAAUAUGUGUUGCAAAUUUAUAGAUUUUGCAAUUAAAAUUUAGAAAUUCUAAACGACCUUGAAUGUUCACAUAAUUGAAACAAAAGUUGUGGUGGUCGACCUGAGCUAUGUGUUUGUUGUUAACAAAUUUUUUAUUUGAAGUCUUUGUGAGUAGAAAUCAUGUAUUUCUACCUGCGGUUUUCCUAAGGAUCCGUCACUAAAAAUCAUAUUUUUAGAGGCGGUUUUUUAAGAAAACCAUCUGUAGAAAUAAUUUGAAAUUAAAAUUUUUAAGCUUUUCAAAUGACCUCGUUUGAAAAAACUGCCAAAAUAAAACUUAUGAAAGUUUGUAGUUGACAAUUUUUUCAUUUGAGAUCAUCUUGUCGUCGAAAACAACAUUUGAAUUUCUCAAAUUUGAAAUUCAAAGUUUGUAAAUGACAUCGGAUGGAGAAACUACCAAUAUAAAUGUUGUAGAUCUUGAAAAGUUAUGAAACUUUGUAGCUGACAACUUUCCCAUUUGAAUCAGUUUAGGGCCUCAAAUAAUCAAUGUAUGCUCAGUUUAGGAUAAUAUGUGGGGAACUAAAGUCUAAUAUAGAGGAGGCUUCACGCGAGGGCGAGGUCUCGGGUUCGAAUCCCGCUGGCCACGUAGCGUGCGAUUUUACGUGAAAAAAUGCGCAACUUCGACGGAGACAGACGAGCGAGGGGCGAUUAGCCCGUGGGCCUUCCCCGGGAUUAAAAUCUUUUUUUCCUACUUUUAAAAGCCGAUUUCGGAUUUUCUAGAAAAAAAGUUACCAAUGGCGGUUGGCUAAGAGAACCGCAUGUGGAAAUUUCUUUCCUACUAGCGGUUGUCUCAGCAAAUCGCGUGUAAAAAUAGAUUUCUACAGGCGGUUCUCACUUAACCACCAGUGCAAAAAUUUAUUUCUACUGCCCCUAGGACGGUAGGGAAAACACCUGUAGAAAUGUGUUUAGAACCUGCUAGUGUUUCCAGCAACGACAGGCUACAGGCACCUGGCAUUCUUCUGAAACUAAUUAAGUUUCAGCCGUUCAAAAGUGAUUGGGAGAUUAGCACAAAAUGUGCAAAAUUAGCAUAGAUGCAUCGAAAGCAAAAUGCUCACUAUCCUAGUGUACCACUACCAUACAUGCAUCUAGGCAUCUAGCAGGUGCUAUGAAAAAGCUCAUCACUGUGUCGACAGAAAAAAAUUAUCUAGCCUGCAACCCAAUGUUACUGAUAGAGAUACCGGUGUCAGAUUUCAGCUCAAAAUACUAGUUUACCAUCGGAUAUGAAUACACAUGUCAUCACAAUUUCGCAAGAUCAGGACACCAACCACAGAGCUAGAGAGCAAAAAUUUUGCAAGAUUUGAACAUAAACCACAGAGCUACAUAGCAAAUCACCUGCGUUGCAAGAGGUGGGCAGGUCCUUCUGCAGAUCUGUCAACUCUUUAAGGAUUCUCUUUGGCGCCAUUAAUCAAACCCUACAUAAAAUCCCCAAAAUCCACUGGUCAAAUCUAACCCAGGGGCCGUGCUAAUCGAAUCGAGGGAGGGGGGACCAAGGGUCGCACGUACCGGUCCACUACCUUGAGCCCAUUGAGCUGACCAGGUGACGGUCUCGAUGGAGCCGUGCGCGGCUUUGCCGCUCACGCGUGCCGGCGAGACGCUCCACUGUGGCGCCAAAGGGGCUGGGCAGGGGCCUUGCCGGUGAGCUGAAUAAACAGGGGAUGGAGUGAGGAGUGCAGGGCUAGGGUUUUCAACUACCAGGGUGUCUUUUAUACCUGUUCACUUUGGCCAGGCGAAUCAUGACCGUCCAUUCUGAUCGGACGACUAGCAUGGCUCGUAAAUCAGUCUUAGUCAUUUAGUGGGCUGUGCAAUGCGUUAAGCCCUUAAACAGCCCAUGCGCCUGCACGCUGUGCUUUUGGCCGCUUCGGUCUUAAGGCCGGAAAAUAUUUUAUUUCUAGUAUUAUGUUUUUGCUUUAUUUAAUUCUAAUAAAUUUCAUUGCUCCCUACACAAUUUUGAUAUGAGGGAGAAUAGCUAAGUAGUGGUCUAGUAUCUUCAAAAUGUUUCAAAGUGAUUUGCUAUUUAAUUAAUUUCGACAGAGCCAAUAUAAAUGGUUCACUGUGCCAUUUCAUGGACACUAACUAUAACUUAUAUGUUUUCAUAGCUCUUGUGCAUUUCAUCGUCGUGUGCUCUUGAAACUUUUCUCAACCUCAUAGGUACCAAAUGUUAAGGAGACACACAAAGUUUCAAAUUUUGUCCUUUUCUUUUUUAAUUAUUUUGGCUGAAUUUUUGAAAAAUCAUAAAAUGGAAAAUGCAUGUAAAAUAUUUGACUUGGUCAAACUUUGAAAAAAUAAAACACUAAAUGACCUCAAAUAAUUUUUUUAAUAUUUACAAAAUAAAACUCAUCAAGGUCUAAACUUUUUGUAAUUGUCCACUUUUCAUUUGGCAAAGUUUGAACCAUUUAAAUUUUGAAUUUUGAAAUUUUGACACCUCGAGACCAGUUUUUGAAACCCUAGAUAAUCUCAUCUCGAAAAGUCAUGAAUACCAAGAUUGGUCCACUCAUCAAGAUCUACGUUUAAUACAUAGGUCAUUUUUGCAUUUGACAAAGUGUUACGAAAGUGUAUUUCUAAAUCCAUAGGUCUCACAUAUAGUUCCAUAAAGUCUAUGUGAUAUUCAAAACUUUGUGACUCCUGUUUACUAACACUUUCUCAAAUGUAAAAAUAAACUAUGUAAUAAAUGUAGAUCUUGAUGAGUUGUACAACCUUAGUAUUCAAAAGUUUUUCAUUUCAGGUCAUUUAGUGUCUCAUUUGACCAUUUUUUCCCAAAACACUUAUUCCUACGUUCACCAACAAAAUGUAAAUCGAAUCAUGGUCCCACACAUCGACAUGCUGGCGUAGUGGUAAGGCGGAUUGUUUUCUAUCCUCAGGUUUUGAGUUCAAUGCCCACCGUCGGCAUUUAUUUUUACUAUUUCGAAUUUACUUGAUCCUGGAUGAACUCGAACAAAACAACGUUUGUCACAUCAAAAUUGCUAAUGCAAUUGUAAGGCUUCUGUUUUGGACACCCAAGCACUGGGUUCGAUACCCUUGGAUUGCACUUUUGUUUCCCUAUCUUUUUAUUUACCAAUUUUUUUAUUGACCAAUUUACAGAAGGCUAUGUUGGGCUGGUAAACAAUUAAAAAUAAAGUGCACAUUUAGUCAUGUAGCACUCUAAUGGUAAGACAUGUUUCUACUAUCCACAUAAGUGCAAUCUUUUUGUUCCUAUAUGGAUAAUAUUUUUAGUUUUGUCAUAUAUGCUUGUUACAAAGUUGUUAAAAAAAUAUACAUGUAAUAAAGUAACAUAAUUAUUUUGUUCAAAUAAUUUAAUAGAUUGUGUUUACUACUUUUGCAAUCACAUUUUCUAUUUUUCUUUGCACCAAAUAUUAGUAGCAAGCUUAGAGUAUGAUGAAUUCAAAAUUCAUAUACUGUGAUGAUCCUAAUUAAAUCGUCACCAAUUAGUGGGCUAGGAAUAUCUAGUGAGCUCAUCCUUGAUGAAAAAUGAAUAUCGUCACGAAUUGCGGCUCUCAGUGGUUGUUAGUAAUGAUUUGUAAAUCUGUCACUGAGAAAUUGUCACAGAUUAACAGGUUCCUUGUAGUGUAUACUUUUGUUCCAUCCAAUUAUAAUAAAAUGUUUUGGCUAUGAUUAAAUUAUUUUGGACCAUGUUAAGUUUGGUACUUUCAAAAUAGGUAUUGUGAUUCCUUGGGUUUGGUCGUUUGGCAUGUUGGGGUUUGGGCCCAAACCGUGGCGAAUCUGGCUAGCUAGGACUUCAAGAUCUUCUCUCAAGAGUCCUAGCGGAGGGGUGGCGCCAUGGGCUUGUUGCCCACUGGUGAAACCUCAUGAUGUGGAGGAAGCUCACUAUAGCAGUCAACGGGCUAGGGUACCAAAGUCGAGGACCUGAGUUGGAGCAAAGGUGUCAGUCAUGAUUGAGAACACGUUGGAGAAGUUGACACCUCUAUCUAGGGUGGUGCCGCUUGCUCCUACGAUGAGGCAAGUGGCUCUGACCACCAUAGAGCCAGAAUCACACUUGAUGCUGCCCCUACUAGGCACACUAGCUAUCGUGGGGUUGGAAACAUGCGAUAUUGUUGUUCAAGUUGGUGUCAGAGUAUGGGUCUCUAGUGGCUCAAGUGGAAUCAAGAAUAUAGGAAUCACAUAGAGAUGACGUUACGAUUUAUCCUAGUUUGGGCCAAUUUGGCCCUUACAUACAGUAGUUGAUGAUCUAUAUACUCAAAAGCACUCAAUAUCGGGGGGCUACAACAAAGUGUAAAGAGAGGUUUGGUAGGGGUUAGCUUCAUACUAAUCCAAAGGUUGCCUCGCUGCUGGUGGAGCCUUCCUCUUAGAGAGGAGUAAUACAAUGGGACACGGUGGAGGAGCCCUCAGUGCCCCUCCCUAGGUUGCCUUCCUCUUGGUGUUGAGCGGAGGUGGAUGGAAUGGUGUGCUUAUUGAUUGAUUGGGAUCGCCUUUCCCCUGGGUCUGACGUUGUCCCUUAUAUAAUGAGAUAAGUUGGGUACAUGGUGGUUUGGGGGAACAAGUCUAUGGUCUAGGUGCACUAGAGUCCAGGAGGGUCUUGCAACGUUGCACCACGGAUCGUGGUAGUGUUGUGGAGCUGAAGAAGACUUAGGCAUCAUUUAGCUGCUCUAUUCUGAUAGGUGGACCAUAUGGAGUCUUCCUUAUGGUGAAGGAGGUCAGCUCUAGGGGUUAACAUGAGGGCUAGAAGCCUAAGCCCCUAGAGGCUUAGGGAAAGCCUUUUCUUCUUGUGUCACACCCGAGCAUGACACUGUUAGGGGAGCAGUUGGCAAGGCCACACCUUAGGAGUGGUGUUGGGUAGCUUCUGAGCAUCGGUAGUUUGGGGCUUCCAUUCUUGUGCUUGGGCCUUGGCUAGCAUCAUGAGCCAAGCAAAAGCAAAGGGCUAAGCUUAGAGAUGUCAUAGAGCAAGAGACCAAGGCUCGAGUGAGCCGCUACGCCCUAAGAGGAGGUUAUGACCAAGUCAGGCUUGGUUGAGUCUCUUUGCUAGAGCUUGUGAACAAGUGUGCCCGAUGGGCAUAGCCCCAAGCUCUCGAGCCAUAUUGGAGUUGUUGGUUGGGGGUCUUUUUCAGUCAGCAACCAUUGGACCCUAGGCUUAACAUAACCAUACAAUAGGAUGUUGUUACCUAAGAGCUUCCUCAUGGAAGCUUGGCACCACCAAUAGCACCAACUCAAUGGCAGCAAUCAUUGUAUCUUGUAGCAGUGAAUAAUGUCUGUUGUUUACCCAUGGCAUGGCAGUAGAGGCACGCACCUAGGAAGCCAAUUCAUCUCAUAGGCUAGCCAUCUCUACUAGCAGCCUAGUGAACCCCUUGUUGGCCAAUCAUAUGUAAAGCCACCUCAGCUUGGGCGUCAACUAGCUACCCCUGCAUGACUGAAAGGAACAAGGAUGCAAAGCUCAUAACAAUAAGACAAGGACAACUAGAAACAAGAGAUAGGGAAGAUGAAGUUUCACAGAGCCCUAGCUGUGGCCGCCUCCUCAUCUAUGAUGUUGAGCGUCGUGUAUACUACCAAGAGGCAUGCCCUCAUCCACUUGACCUACCGACAUUCAUCAUGGAGGGCUUGGCUAGCCACGUCUAACAACUAUGUGAUGGUGUGGAUGUCAUGACCACCAUCAUCAAACUCCUCAUCAUUAGCAAAGGAGGGAGAGCCCGAUGACAAAGCUGCCCACACUGUAAUGGUUGUGAUGACAAUGAGGCAUCCCUGGCUACCAUAUAGCUUGUCAUUAAGUCCUACAUGGUACAUUAUCUGACAAAUGGGCUUGGGUUACUCACACCACCCAUAUAUGCGACCAUAUCUAAGCUAUUGGCUCAGGAACGGUCAAGGAGGAGGCCCAUGAGGGCUGAGGCAGUCGAUCAAUGUAAAGACCAAGGCUAGCCUAGAUUAUCCAAUAUAUGCUUAUCUCGACAGUAGCUAGGAUUAAUCUAUGGCACAUUCCAUGUAACAAACUAGGAAUAAUCCAAUCUAUUAGCCUGAUCACCCUCAUUGUAACCCUACCCCUCUAGCUAUAUAAAGGAGAGCAUGGAACUUGCGAUUAGGAUCCAUCUCAUCUCAUUCCAAUUUACUACGUAUGUAGUUAGGAGCAACAACCCCUAUAAUCGAGCAUAUGAAUAAAAGAAGAGCAACAACACCACUGGAGUAGGGUUUUACGCACACCGUUGCCUGAACUAGUAUAAAUCCUUGUGUCUCAUGCACUACCAUCUAAUUCCGUCUACAUGAUCACAUUGCUAGGCAUUGUCAGAGCUAAUCCAUCCGACAUAAAGAUACCCCAAUUAUGACCACUGAGUCAUAUGAUGAGACAACCGAAAAGCCUCUUUUCACUGCUAGUUCAAUGGCCACUACAACUUAUCGGCCUGGGAAUCAGCAGCAAAAUAGUUUGGCCACCUGUUUUGUAAUAUAUGUGGAGAUAAGGGUGCAUUGACCAUUUCUAAUGUAUGUCCCUCAGUUGUCACAUGGUGGGGGAUAGGGUGUGCAUGCCGACAAUGUAUAGGAUGGUGCAUCGAUCGCAUGUGGAGGCUAGCAUGGAGGACGGUGAUAUGGUAGCACUAGGAACUCACCCUCGUCUUUAGCAACCUUGGGCCUCACGCCCCUCUCAAGGAACAAAACUGCCUUCGAAACAAGUGCAAACAAGAAUGCAGGGAUAACUUGAAUCCACUAUAACACAACAUAGCUUUGUCAAAACUUUUUGUUGUCGGUGAAAGUAACCUUUGCCGACAUAUAAUCUCUUGAGAAAGGUUUUGCUGACAGUUUACAAACAGUCAUGGUAGAAGCCAUCGGCAAAGAUUUUGCCAACAGUUAAAGGAGUCAUCGACACUUUUUGUGUAGCCAAAUGGUGUACCUACACCGAUAGUUAGGACUUUCUCCGAUAAUUAAUCUUUUGCCUACAGUUUGAACCUACACCGACAGUUAGGACCUUUCCUGACACUUUGUAUGUUGGUGAAUCCAUUUACAAGGUCCUUUGUAAACUAAAGCUUGUCCAUCAACAAAACUGUUGGCAAAAUUGUAUUGUACAUAAUAGGUAUAAAUACACUUUGAAUUAAAAUAUCAAAUCUUCCAUAGAUACACCAACUUGAUAAUCAUAGUACAUAGAGCCAUACAUAUAUAGGUCCAAUGAUCAUACAUAGCAAGUCAAUACAUAUAUAGGUCCAAUGAUCAUACAUAGCAGGUAAGUGAUGAUCAUACUACAUACAACCAUACAUAUAGAUGUCCAGAAUGUAGAUUAGUCACUAGCAGGCAUAUAUAUAGACACAUACUAAGUCUUAUACUAACUAGUUAUGGCUAAAGCUAAGAGAUCGAUUAGAAUUACAUCACAUGUUUCUAUAAGGACUUGUUUGGACCACCACAAAAUAAUACCAUGACCUUAGAUGAGUCACAAAUAGUUGAUAUUCCUCAGGUCAUCAGCCAAGCUGAAAACGAAUUCCUAACGGCUUCUUUUACGGAAAAGGAGAUUCGAGAUGAAGUUUUUGCUAUGGAACACAAUAAAGCACCCGGGCCAGAUUGCUUCCCGGCUGAGUUUUAUCAAAAGUUUUGGGAUGUCAUCAAAGUGGACCUGAUGCAAAUGUUCCAUGAUCUUCACUCAGGAACCUUGCCGCUUUUUAGCCUCAACUUUGGUGUCAUAAGUCUAAUUCCGAAGGUCCAAGAAGCUAAUAGAAUUCAAUAGUAUCGACCAAUUUGCUUACUAAAUGUUAGCUUCAAAAUUUUUACUAGAGCGGCAACCAUUAGAAUUAACUCAAUAGCAGAUCAUAUAGUUGGUUCAACUCAAACGGCCUUUAUGCAAGGACACAACAUCCUCGAGGGAGUCGUCAUUUUGCAUGAGACAAUUCAUGAGUUGCAUUAUAAAAAAAGUGGAAUUAUUUUUAAAAUAGAUUUCAAAAAGGCUUAUGACAAAGUUAGAUGGCCUUUCUUACUACAAACUUUGCGGCUGAAAGGUUUCUCUCCUAAGUGGAUCUCUUGGGUGCAAGCAUUUAUAUCAGGUGGAAGUGUGGCAAUCAAUAUUAAUGAUGAGGUCGGACAUUAUUUUCAAACGAAAAAAUGCCUUCGACAGGGGGAUCCACUAUCCCCCAUUGUAUUUAACAUUGUAGCUGAUAUGCUAGCUAUACUAAUUAAAAGAGCCCAAGGAGAUAAUCAGAUAAGUGGAAUACUGCCACAUCUAGUUGAUGAAGGUUUAUCUAUUCUACAAUAUGCUGAGGAUACAUUACUCUUUAUGGACCAUGACAUCGAAAAGGCUCGCAAUAUGAAGUUAUUACUUUGUGCAUUCGAGCAACUUUCUGGGCUUACAAUAAACUUCCAUAAGAGUGAAAUAUUCUGCUUUGGAGCAGCACAAGAAUCUUUUGUCCCAAUAUACCGAGAUUUUUUGUUGUAAUCAAGGAGCUUUUCCAAUGAGGUAUUUGGGCAUACCUAUACAUUAUAGAAGGCUCUCAAAUGCAGAUUGGAAAAGAGUAGAAGAACGUUUUGAAAAAAGACUUAGCAGCUGGAAAGGAAAGCAUUUGUCAACUGGUGGGCGCUUGACACUGAUUAACUCGGUGCUUAGCAGCUUACCAAUGUAUAUGAUGUCCUUUUUUGCGAUCCCAAAAGGAGUUGUAAAGAAACUAGACUACUUCAGGUCAAGAUUUUUUUUGGCAAAGUGAUGAACAAAAACGAAAAUACAGAUUAGCCAAAUGGGACAUAUUAUGUCAACCCAAAAACCAAGGUGGACUUGGAAUUCACAAUUUAGACAUCAAGAACACGGCCCUUCUGUAAGUGGCUCUUCAAAUUGCGCACAACUGAGGGUACUUGGCAACAAAUGCUACGUAAAAAAUAUUUAGGAUCUAAGUCACUUUCUCAAGUUCAAUGGAAGAAUGGAGAUUCACAUUUUUGGGCCAGUUCUGAUGAAGGUUAAACGAGAUUUCCUACGUUUUGGGACCUUCAUAAUUCAGGAUGGAUCACAAGUAAGAUUCUGGGAAGACAGGUGGUUAGGACAGUCAACUCUGCGUCAACAAUAUCCUUGUCUUUAUAACAUAGCCCGGCAUAAACAGGUUACUGUAGCAGAAGUGCUAAGCACGUCUCCACCUACUCUAUCCUGGCGAAGAGAUCUAAUUGGACACAAAUUAGUGGCUUGGAACAAAUUACUUCCACGCAUCACGAAUAUUCUGUUAAGCCAGCAAGAUGAAUUUCGCUGGAACUUGCAUCCUAAUGGACAGUUCUCAGUUAAAUCUCAUUACCUAGCAAUGUUCCAUAAUGAUGUUCCUAAUAUUAAUAAAGGCUUGUGGAAACUUAAAGCUCCUUUGAAGAUCAAGAUAUUUCUAUGGUAUCUACGUACAGGCGUAGUGUUAACCAAAGACAACUUAGUUAAACGUAAUUGGCAUGGCAGCAAACAGUGUUGUUUUUGUCACAAAGAUGAGACAAUUAAACACCUGUUUUUUGAAUGUCGUUUUGCUCGUGUUGUCUGGUCUGUUAUCCAAGCGGCUUCAGGCUUGUCUAAACCGCAUAGUGUCUCAAACAUGUUUGGUUCUUGGCUCUGCGGUCUAAGUAAAUAACUGAAAUCGCUAACCUUGCUAGGAGCAGCAGCUACAUGUUGGUCUCUUUGGUUAUGUAGAAAUGACCUGGUUUUUGAAAAGAAACAUACUUGUUUUCCCUUACAGGUUAUCUACUCGAUUAUACAUUGGCUGCGUACAUGGGCUGUCCUGCAAAAGCCAACUUCACAAGAUUUGGUUGUAGCGGCAUCUCAACAAUUGGUGCAAGUGGCCAAGGAGUUUUUUACCCGGGCACAUGGGUGGCAGUCUAGUCUUCGGAUUGAGUGUUAUUAGUGUGUCUUUAUGUUUUAAGUUUUUUUUAUAAGGCUGUGUGUACCUUUGCUAUACAGAGGCUGGAAGUGUUUCAAGGUUUUUGUAUCAUCUCGAUGUAACGAUCUUGAAAUUAAUGAAGCUUUCUUUAUCGAAAAUAAAGCUAAGAGAACGAUAGAUCAUGACUUGGACAAUAAGUGACAUUCAAAAUUUCCAUUGGUCUUUGGCCUACAUGAUAGUAGCCUAGUAGGUGCAAACAAAAGAACAGAACUGCAAUUCAUGUCUUCCUGCAGCACUUCUCGGACACUCAUUUCGAAUCCAAAGUACUUGAAUACCAACUUGGUGCACAUAUGGCUGCUUCCACCCAAGAGAACAUGUAACGGCUCGCUGGUCGAAGCUCAAAAGGUUGCCCAGUCCAAAAUACUUGCAACACCAUACAACUUAAGUACCUAACAAGAAAAAAAGGCGAAAUAUAAGUGAAUUGUGCUCUGUAUCAUUAAUUCUUGCUUUGUUAUUGGGUGGAAAUAGGGAAACGAUAUUAAUGUAUAGUGGACAGCUAUGCUAUAAACUAUUUAUUGAUAUAGAGCCAUUAUAUAAUUCCAUUCAAUCUAGUUAGCAAUGACGUGUCAACUAGAAGCAACAAGCUAGGUACCAACAGCUUAAACAGCAGCUGUAGCAACCUAUUACUAUCUUUGAACUGAUCAGGAUGUAUAUAGCAGCCAACCAAAUUUAUAAAACCUCAUAGUUUUUCAAGAAAUUCUUCAACAUAUAUAUUAUAAUCAAAUUUAUAAAGCAGCCAGCCAACACAGCCUCAUUGAUUUCCCAAAUUUCAACCAGUUCGGAUCACAUAUACAAAUCAAAAUGUUCAAGUGCAUACCUUCAAGCUGUGAUGUGUCCUUCCUAUGCCACCACAUUUUAAGAGCUGAGGUGACUUCUUGUCAUCCUUCAUCUAGUAUAAAACAAAUAUAUUACUAACCAGCAAAAUAUAAUGAUCAUUUCUUAAAGAUAGAGAGGUUAGGCCAUUAUUACUGUCAUGGGGCCAUGCAAUACAUCUCCCAUGAGCCUCUAGAAUGGUGGUGACCCCUUCAUAUGGACGAGGCAGUACAGUGUUCCUCAUUAACACAUGGUUCACAACCACCUCACACUACUGCAUGCCAAGAGCAGUACCCCCAACAAUAGCCCUUGGGUUUUGUGUUUGAACGGUAGCCUUUGCCAUAGGGACAUCAUAGGGCCUUACUACAUUAUAUAGUAUCACAUCUCAAGGACACUUAGUGUCUCAGCUAUUUCAGCCUCUAGGUUUUGCAUAUCACUGAUAUGAAUAGUGGGUGAGUAGAUAUUCUUGAAGAAAUUUCUCACAUGAAGUGCUGCACUGACUCUUUCUGUCAAUUUAUUCGACCAGCGAUGGGAAGCAAGCCCUAUAACAAUAUGUGGUUGUCAUGGCUCUUUAAUCCAAUUAACUUCUUCUCCCUAACUUGCACAUUACGGCGCAUAUCAGAAGCAUAACCAUCUGGAAACUUCACUUCCUUCAAUACUUGAAACGCUUCCCUACCAUCAGGACUCAUUGUAAACUGUGCUGGAGGUAAAUAGAAGUAAUCUUCUACACUAACAAGAUGAAGAUCACUUGUAAUGCCAAGUUCCUAGAUGUCGAAGCGAGCAUUUAAGUUAUCCUUGGAUUUUCCAUCAGUGUCCAAAAGUGUGUCAAUAAUAUUCUGACACACAUUCUUUUCUAUGGUCUUUCCAAUAUGGCAACUUAAACCAAAUGGAUUUUCCUUUCCAGGCAGUUGAUGGUUCAUCUGUAGUUGGAUUGCACUGAUGCUUGGUUGGCUUCUUGGUUAUUGGGUCCUUUCCCAAGGUUGGGCAGAUAUUGGCUGUCAGCUCCAAUAUUUCCUCUCCACUAAGAGGUCUAAGUGCUCGCCUAAAUUCUAUGGUAUUAUCAAAAAAAAUCUGCAUCAAACCAAAAUUUGUGUUUGGCAUCUAAGAAUCUGAUAUGGCCCAUGUAGACACACUUGCCUCCCUUUUUCAAUUGGAAAGAACAUGUAUCUAAGUGGCAUUCAUGACAAGCAACUUUGCUAGAAGUGACACAUGCUAGCAAAUAACCUAGACUGUGCAAACUAUGGCAGCACGCAGUUGGAAGUUUUCACGCUUAGGAGCAUCAUAUGUUCUUACACCAACAACAAACAUUUCUAUCAUAUCAACAACCAGUGGCUCAAGAAAGACAUCCAUAUCACCACAAGGUGCCUUAGGUCUAGGGAUCAACAAGGAUAAGAUCAAAUUUGAUGGCUUCAUCCACUUCCAAGGUGGAAGGUUGUUUGGGAUCAGAAUAACAGGCCAAAUACUAUAAGUUGAUUUCAUUGUCCUAAAAGGAUUAAAGCCAUCACUAGCUACAGCUAGUGUAAGAUUUAGACUCUCCAAGGAAAAUACAGGAUGCUUAGAGUCAAAAUCCUUCUAGAAAGGAGCAUUAGCAGGAUGCCUCAGCAGACCAUCAUUUGUGCACCCUUCAUUGUGCCGCCUUGUGUCACUUGCUGUUUUUGAGCACAUAAAGUACCAUUGCAGUCUUUUCUUUAUAGGAAAGUAACGUAGAACUUUCCUAGGAACCCUAUGCACACGUUUUCCAUAGGACUACUCUUUUCUAAUUUCCAUCCUGAGGUUUUACAUUUUAGACAAACAUCUUUUGUCGCAUGGUCUUUCCAAAACAGUAUGCAGUCAUUCUCACAUGCAUGCAUGAAUUUUCAUGUACCCAGGUCCUACACCUUUUACCAUUUUUUUAGCUGCACUAAAGUUUUUAGGAAAUGGAGUGCCAAUUAGUACCUAGGCUGAUCCAUCCAUGUUUUAUCCAUGAUGCACCUUUUACAAAAUGGAAAUGGAGUGCCAAUUAAUGAAAUAUAUACACAUCUGUUCUCAUUUCAGAUUGGGUUGUUCAACAAAAAAAAGAUCUUGCCAAAAAAUUGUCCAAAUUAAGUCAAUUUCAACACACUUGAUGCUAAAAAAAUCAUCUCACCACACAAUCAACAGGAACUAUAGGAAAAAUUUAGUCCAGAUCUAAGAAACCAAAAUCAUAACAAUACAGAACACACAAUCUGCAGAGUUGAUAAGAAAAGGAGAGCAUAUCAAUCAAGCAAUGACAGUAGAAGAGCCGAUGAAGACUAAAAGGCCAACUUGUUCUUGCACCCUAUAGGAUAAUAUUGCCAACGAUAAUUAAUCACAAGGCAGUACAAAUAAGUUAAAAACCUGAGUGCAAACAAACUUACUUAAAAGCUACAAGGGGUUACAACUUGUGUAGAAAGAACAACCAAAGAGUUGAGUCCUUUAGCUCUUCCUUAUUGGAUAUUUUGCAACAUGCACAAGAAAGAAAGAAAUAAUGAGAACUGAUCUAUUUGGAAUGAGGAGACAUUUAUGCAUUUCAAUAAUUCCAAGGUUAACUUAUACUUCCACUUGUAGCUUAAAUUUCAAUUGAUUCCCUUUUCUCACACCUUUUAUACAGAACAAACACAGCAUGUUUUUUCGCAUAAAGGACAAAAGAAAAGUGACUAAAUUCCCAUCAUGUGAACUUUGCCUCUGUUGAUGCGAAACUGAUCUGCAAACACAAAGGGCUAAUACCCGAUUCGAACGUUAAGGCGUGCCAGCCGAUUUGACCUUGCUAUCGGCAAAGGUAAUAACUCGAAUACUUUAGUCCUGACAACAGCGAUGCGCCCGGAUGUCACGGCUAAGAGGUACUCACGCGGAACUUGAGAACACGCCGAGCUUAAGUCGACGAAUUCCUAAGAACUCGUAAUAAAAGGAAAAAAGUAUGACGAAGUCGUCGAAAAGUAAAUGCUGGAAUAUGAGUAAAAACGUGUGUUUGAUUGAUUUCUUGAUAUCUUAUUACAAGGUCCUAGGGUUUAUAUUUAUACCCUGUUCAAAGAGCUACGACCAGACACGAUUAGAAUUCGAAUUCCAAAUUACACGGAAUCCAUGUACAAAACGAUGCAAAUAACUAAGGAAACAAUAAAACUAUCCUUCGUGACAAACUGAAACUCCUCCACAUGACAACUGGCAGCUUCCGGACUCCUCCUUCGCGUCAUCGGCAAUCCCCUUGCCAUGGUCAUCGGCAGACCCUUUUACCUGGUCAUCGGCACCAUAUUACUGCCUGUGGACUUAGUCACAUUCAACCUCUCCCUCAUCGGCAACCAUCCUCACCAGCAACCCGCAUCGUACUGCCACCCUAUCCUGCCAUCCUGGACACGUGCCCAAAAAAUGGUGUCAACACAUGCAUCCCAGUUUCGGAGUAUAAAACUAUUAAUGCUCCGAAAUUCUCUGCAGUAAUGAUGUCUCCUCCGCAAUUAAUGCUCCUAAUCUGGUAACCGACAACCUCAAUCUGGGCAAUUCUGAUCCUAAUCCUCCGCAGAUUCCUCGAAAUCCCCAACUUCCUAAACGGGCAUCUUUCUUGGUCGUACAUCGGCAACAAUACUGUUACAAAGAUCUGCCGAUGCUCUGACCGGGAUAUUCGCAAAAACGGUUACCUCCCCUCUAUCCGCCCAUCGGCAAGAUGACCGUUAUAGAAUAUCGCCGAUGGACCGACCAGGAGAUCGCGCACAGUAAAAUAUCUUUAGAUAAUGACCGCUUCCUGUCAAAUCACCUGCACAACCCCUGGAUUACCGUGCGAACAGUUACCAUAUCCACCUGAGUACCCUCGGGCUUCUCGGAUGCGGCAAAGAGAUAAGUCGGAUUUGCCCUUGCCCAUCUUGUCCUAUAAAUAGUUCCUUCUUGGGUACUCCUCCUCCAUUACACCAUUCUACUAUCCAACUUUUCUUUUCCAGCGGCGGCGCCAUUUACAACCCUCAAGAUCUCCGGCAAGCACUCCUCUUCAUCAACUCCGGUGCCCUCCAGCGUCCUCUUCACGACAAGAUGGCUGUUGGCUUCGUCGUCCCUGAGGUCAGACAUCCAUCUCAUCUGCUGUACCUUUUUCUUGCAUUCCUGUUCAUCUGCGAUUCAUCUUACCGAAUAUUUUUCUUUUCCUUUUUCUUUGUAUUUUUAUUCCCCAAAACACUAGGAGUUGUCCAACAAAAUUGUCAUCCCUACCGAUCAACCACACCUUCAGUGCCUCGGCCCUCUAGGGGAUCCAGAUCCAACCGACCUUAUCAAUGCAGAAACCAACAGGAUUCCCUUUAGAGCUGAAAACUUUGCUUUAGAUCUAUGGAAAGACACCUUUCGCUCUUGGCCCAGCCCUACCGUAGGGUGGAAAGAUUGGUUCUUGGGGGUCAGCAAUUCUUAUGAAGUUCAAUGGGGUGAGAGGAAGUUAGCUCAAUGCAUUAGACUAUCCAUUGCCGAUAUGCACAGGAACGAGUCAUUGCUGAUAGCUGCAUCUUACUUUUGGUCAGACACUCUCAACGCUUUUGUUUUUGGCCACGGCCCUGCUUCUCCUACCCUUGCCGAUGUAGCCAUGCUUACUGGGCUAGAUAUAUCUUCUGCCGAUAGCACCCACUUUUUUGAUACUGCCCCCAGUGCCAAAGUGGAGACUCGCGCUAUCGGCGGUUGGUCAGGGUACAUCCAGAAGUACCGCGGGAGAGGGCAUGUCACCAUAAAGGAGCAAACCACCUUUCUGAACAUGUGGCUAGACAAGUUUGUAUUCUGUGGUCGAUCGGCAGGACCGACUUCUGUCUAUCUAUCGGCAGCAGAAAGACUGGCUAGCGGCGGCCAAUUUCCUCUCGGCCGAUAUUUGCUUGGCGCUGUUUACCACCUUCUUCAUCAGGUAGCCCAGAAACUCCUGCUUGGCCAAUCCAUCGGCAACUUGGGAGGCCCAUGGUGGUUUAUUAAUAUGUGGCUCAAUCUGCACCUGUAUAAGCGCCUUGAUUUCAACUUAUUCUCACAGCACUUCCCAAGAGAUAUAGCCGAGAAUCAUGUGUUGGGUGAAGAGGAAUCGGCAACACGUGCCCCCUUGAACUUUGGCGAGGCAGUUAUAGUCUUACCCGGUUUAGGGAACAAUUCGGAUCAGAUUGGCCGAUUCUUCGAGACUCUGUAUGAGGGUCUGGCCAGAGAUGAACGACCAUGGCUGGCUUAUGACGACCCAGACAGCAUGCUCCCUCUGACCUUCAAUCCAUUUGAUGAAGCUCUCGACAGGGAAAAUGAGGUGAUGAUGGCAAUCGUGACUCCCAGAGCCAUACCAGUGAAUUUCUUUGGUAGCACGAAAACUUCUCCCCAAACCUAUGAAUUUUAUAAUCCAUCGGCAUUAGCUCGCCAGCUAGCUUUCGGCCAAUUGCCGAUUGCACUUCCUUAUGCCGAUGUAAUAAAGCCCAGAGAACCCAUCGCCAACCUCCUCGAGUGGACUCGAGUAGCCCAGCUACCACCAAAUGCCGAUACAGAUGUAGAUCUGUCAGAAUGGGUUCCAGCCGCCUUUAUUACUCAGGCCUACAAGCUAUGGUGGGCAGAAUGGAAGGAGAGUCUAUUCUGCAGAUCGGCCCUCUCAUACCGCGGCAUGAUCGACCCCGACUACGAAGUUCCUGACGGCACUGUAAGUAUUUUAAACCGAUGUCUCAUUUUCCAAUACCAUUCCCAUCGGUAAUUCACCCCUGUAUUCCUUUUGCAGAUUGACAACACCCCCCCAUCGGUUAGCAGGAGUGGCAAGCCGAUCGACUUAUUCCCAUCAGGCCCGAUCUCCUCAAUCGGCCAUAAUGCUCCCACUCUGGCUUCCAUCGUGCACCGGGGUGCGCGCCUCAAGAAAGUUACUACCAGGAAAACUCAGACAUCACCAACGGUAACUGCUUCCACUCUGGCGCAAGCUUUCAAGGCAAUCUGUUAAAACCUUUUUCAUUUAUGCUGAUUAUCUUUGUAUCGGCUAUCUGUGCUCAUAAACUCCUUUUUGUUGUUGCAGCAAACUGGUGCAUCGGCAAAAGCCAAACGCCAAGGUGCCGAUGCCCCCCAGUCUAGCCAGCCAAAGAGGAAAGGCAUCCAAGGUGCUAAGACUGGAACAAAGCGCCAGAAAGUGGCAACUCCUCCUCCUCCUCCGAUGUCCCCAAUCCCGGUGGAAUCUUCCCCUUCUCCUCCAGAAGUCCAGGCACAGCAAGCACCAUCUCCUCAACCAAUACAGGAAGCACCACAGAUGGAAGAACCCCAGCAAGAAGAACCACAAACGGCAGGUACAUUAGCUGACGUAGGUGAACAAACAACUGGCCCGGCAGGUCCAGUUAUAUCAUCGGCGGUUUCCCCGACUCAGGCAGCUGUUCUCUCUCCCCCAGGUAACAUAUCUCAACAAUACUUCCGCCGACAAACUUAUUCUCAUUUAGUCUCAUAAUCCUUCCUGUCUUCUUUCAGGCGAUAUCAUUCCAUCGGCAACAUUUGCCGAUCAACCCAUAGCUCCAUCGGCAUCUUUGAGUCAAAGGCAAGAAAUCGCCUUGAAGCAAGUAAGUCAUCCAAUUUUCCACCAGUAUCGUCUGCCGAAGUUUUGACCAUAAAACUGACUUAUUUCAUCUUCAUUUUCAGGAACAAGAUUCUCCCAACAGCUUAUUCUCCUUCGCCAUUGAUAUCUUCGAAGAAGAAGGCGAGGAAGCAAGCUCCUCUCGGGCAGUUGGAACUGUAUCGGCAGAAACCAGAGCUAAACUGGAAGAGCUAUCGGCCAUACUUCAUCAAGACACAACUCAACUGGUCAAUGAUUCUGACCCAGCCAAAGCCCUGUUCAAGACUCUUAGAGGCCAAAUUCCUGCCGAUGCUGAGGAAACACUCUUCCACGCUGCACACCUAGAAAGCCGCCAGCUACAGUACCAGAGAGCUACUCGACGCCUUGCCGAUAGAGCUGCUCAAAUCCAGCUUUCUGAGGAGAUGAUGAAAGAAAAACUCUUAGCCGAUGAGAAACAUAAGAACAUCGGCACCUUAAAGUCCUCAGGUGAUGCACUGAAGCAGAAAGUGUUUGAUCUAUCGGCAAAAAGAGAAGCUCUACUGGCCGAACUCAAGCAAGUAGAGGACGCUCUGUCCCAAGCCCAGCAAGAAGAGAGUCAACUGCCGGAGACCAUCAAGCACCUUGAACAAGAACGAAACGUCCAUGGUCGCAAAGCGCUGCAACUGAAGAGGAAGCUGAAGCCGAUCGAAGGUUCUGCCGAUGAUGAUAUCAAAGAGAUAGAGACAGCCAACCAGAUUCGACUGCGCGCCAUAUCAGCAAUCCAAGCGCCGCUGAACAUCUGAAGCUUUCAUCGGCGACACACCUUUGUUUUUCCGCUUUUAGCUUUUAGUCUAGCCGAUAAGACUGUUAUCGGCAUCUUUUGAAACAUUAAGUCUGCCCCUGAACAUUUAAAUCCAGCCGAUAGGAGUGUUAUCGGCACUUAAACUUUUAUGCGUCAACCCAUAUGCUGGGGUAGUACUUCUUUAAAUAUUUGCCAUUUAAUGCUCUGGGAAAUUCAACUCCUUCGAGAGUUUCUAGAAUAUAGGCAUUACCAGGAGCUGAGUGUCUUAUCCGAUAAGGACCUUCCCAAUUAGGAGACCACUUCCCAAACUUCGAACUCUUAGUCCCAACUGGCAAGAUCAACUUCCAUACCAAAUCCUCAUCGGCAAACUCCUUAGCCUUUACUUUUUUAUCAUACCAUCUAGCAACUCUCUUCUUAUUUUCUUCUAUACUCAUUAAAGCCUUUAACCGAUGCCCUGCUAAAUCAUCUAACUCAUCGGUCAUCAAAGUGGCAUAAUCAUCGGCAGCCAAUUGAUUUUGAAAAGAUAAUCGCCUAGAUCCAGCCUUAAUCUCCCAAGGCAACACUGCAUCAUGUCCAUACACCAAUUGAUAGGGUGACACCUUGGUUGAUCCAUGACAAGCCAUCCGAUAAGACCACAGUGCUUCAUUUAACAAUGUAUGCCACCGCCUAGGAUUUUCUUCAAUCUUUCGUUUAAUAAGCUUGAUAAUUCCUUUGUUAGACGCUUCGGCCUGCCCGUUGGCUUGAGCAUAGUAAGGAGAAGAAUUGAACACUUUAAUUCCCAUACCGAUUGCGAAUUCAUCGAACUCCCCCGACGUGAACAUGGUGCCCUGAUCGGUAGUAAUCGUUUGGGGAAUCCCAAAUCGGUAAAUAAUAUGCUCCUUCACAAAAUCAAUCAUAUUGGCCGAUGUGACUUUCUUCAAAGGAAUAGCUUCGACCCACUUAGUGAAGUAGUCAGUGGCAACUAGAAUGAACUUAUGCCCUUUGCUAGAUGGUGGAUAAAUCUGGCUGAUCAGAUCGAUGGCCCACCCCCGGAACGGCCAAGGUUUUAUUAUAGGAUUCAUAGCCGAUGCGGGUGCUCUCUGGAUAUUACCGAACUUUUGACAACCUUGACAUCCCUUGAAAUAUUUAAAACAAUCUUCAAGUAUGGUUGGCCAAAAAUAUCCAUUCCUUCGAAUCAUCCACUUCAUCUUAAAAGCUGACUGAUGCGCUCCACACACUCCUUCAUGGAUUUCCCCCAUCAAACUUCUGGCUUCAUCAUCACCCAAGCAUCGGAGAAGAAUUCCGUCGAUAGUUCGAUAAUACAAUUCAUUUUCAAGGAACACAUACUUGGUCGCUUGAAACCGAACCCGUCUUUCAACUUUUUUGGAUGGAUCUUCUAGAUAGUCGAUAAUUUCUUUCCUCCAAUCACCGGCACUGACUGCCGAUGUCGCAUUAAUCAUUGGCUGAUAUCCUGAGGCAUGCUGGGCUAACCGAUUAGCGUCUUCAUUAUGCAAUCGGGGAACAUGCUCCAAUCGGAAGUUCUUGAAUUCCUUUAACAGUUGCAUACUUCUCUCGAAAUAGGUUAUGAGAACUUCACUUCGGCAUUCAUAGCUUCCGGCCAAUUGAUUUAUAACCAACAUGGAAUCCCCGAAUACUUCAAUAGCAUCAGCACGAACUUCUCUUAACAACUCCAAUCCCUUGAUCAAAGCUUGAUACUCAGCCUGAUUAUUUGUUGAUGUAGCAUCAAUCGGCAAGGAAAACUCAUACUUCCUCCCCUUGGGAGAAACCAAUACAAUGCCGAUUCCUGCCCCCGGUCACAGGUAGAUCCAUCAAAGAAGAGCGUCCAGGGUGCAAUUUCCAAGGUUUCCACUAGACCGCAAUGCUGAGUCACAAAAUCGGCCAUGAUCUGCCCUUUGACUGCCUUAGCCGAUUCGUAACGCAAAUCGAACUCCGACAGCGCUAAAAUCCAUUUACCGAUCCUACCACUCAUAAUCGGCAUAGAUAGCAUGUAUCGGACUACAUCAUCUUUGCAAACAACAGCACAUUCAGCCGACAACAGGUAAUGUCUCAGCUUAAUACAUGAAAAAUAUAAGCAUAAGCACAGUUUCUCAAUGGCCGAAUACCUGGUUUCAGCAUCAAUCAACCUCCUACUCAGAUAAUAAAUUACUCUCUCUUUCCCUUCAAAUUCUUGAACUAAAGCUGAACCGAUAACCGAUCCAUCGGUAGAUAAAUAUAAUUUGAAGGGUUUCCCUUGUUGAGGUGGAACUAAAACUGGAGGAUUUACUAGAUACUUUUUGAUUUCAUCCAGAACCAACUGCUGUUCUUCUCCCCAAACAAACUCCUGAUCGGCUUUCAAUUUAAGAAGAGGACUGAAAGCACGAAUUCUCCCAGAUAAAUUCGAUAUAAAUCUUCUAAUAAAAUUCACCUUGCCGAUCAAAGAUUGGAGCUCGGUUUUAUUGGUAGGGGCCACUAUUUUAUUGAUGGCAUCAAUAGAUCUUCGACUAAUUUCAAUACCCCUCUGAUGUACCAUGAAACCAAGAAACUGCCCUGCCGAUACGCCAAAUGCACACUUGUUGGGAUUCAUCUUCAAUCCAUGCUUCCUUGUGCACUCCAACACUUUUCGUAAAUCGGCAAGAUGCUUCAAGAAAUCUCCAGACUUGACCACCACAUCAUCAAUAUAAAUUUCUACGAUCUUGCCGAUGAACUCAUGAAAUAUAAAAUUCAUAGCCCUUUGAUAAGUAGCACCAGCAUUCUUUAACCCAAAAGUCAUAACUAUCCAUUCAAAUAGCCCAACAUGACCAGGACACCUGAAUGCAGUUUUUGGAAUAUCCUCCUCUGCCAUGAAUAUUUGAUUGUAACCCGCAUUACCAUCCAUGAAGCUGAUGACCCGAUGGCCAGCCGCAGCAUCAACCAGUAGAUCGGCGACAGGCAUUGGGUAUCCAUCCAUCGGCGUAGCUUUAUUGAGAUUCCUGAAAUCAAUGCACACCCGAAGCUUCCCAUUCUUCUUGUAAACCGGAACAACAUUGGAAAUCCAUUCGGCAUACCGACACUGCCGAAUAAACUUAGCUUCAAUAAGUUUAGUGAUUUCGGCCUUAAUAUCAGGUAGAAUGUUAGGAUUACAUCGGCGGGCUGGUUGCUGAUGUGGCCGAAAUCCAGACUUGAUGGGUAACCGAUGUUCAACAAUUGAUCGGUCUAAACCAGGCAUCUCUGUAUAAUCCCAAGCAAAGCAAUCUUUAUAUUCCUUUAACAAACUAGUUAACUGCCGUUUACACUCAGGAUUUAAUUUAGCACUAAUAAAAGUAGGCCUAGGCUUAUCACCACUACCUAUAUCUACUUCUACCAAAUCAUCGGCCGAUGUGAAUCCCUGGCCUAAUUUUCCAUCAUCGGCGAAUCUAUCCAUUAAAAACCGUCGUCAGAACCGACUGCUUGGAUCGGUGGAAUCUCAUAAUCGGCAACUUUGAGAAAAUCUUUCUCCCAAACUUCUCCUGAAAUGCACCUAGUCUUUUCAUAAGUAUCCGCUUCUGCCGAUGCAAUAACAUAAGAAGAAUCCCCUGGGACGAUCUCAAUCUUAUCACCUACCCACUGAACCAAGCACUGGUGCAUUGUAGAUGGGACACAACAAUUGGCAUGAAUCCAAUCUCUCCCCAAUAAUAAAUUGUAGGCACCUUUUCCGCUGAUCACGAAAAAAGUUGUCGGCAAGGUUUUGCUGCCGAUGGUCAACUCUGCGCAUAUCGCCCCCUUGACUGGAGACACGUUUCCUUCAAAGUCUUUGAGCAUCAUAUCGGUCUUGGUCAAAUCUUGAUCCCCUUUCCCAAGCUUCCGAUAUACUGCAUAUGGCAUAAUGUUAAUAGCAGCUCCACCAUCAACCAGGAUCUUAGUCAUUGGCUGCCCAUCAAACCUUCCUUUGAGGAACAAAGCUUUAAGAUGCUGCCUCUCGUCAUCGGCAGGUUUCUCAAAGAUAGCCGUCAUCGGAUCCAGAGCCAACUGAGCUAUCUGAUCAGAAAAUUCCAGGUCAUCGUCACUGGUUGGUGCAAGAAACUCCAUCGGCAACAUGAAGACCAUGUUGACGCCUGCCGAUAGACCUUCCCUCUUAGUGCCUGACGGCUGCCGACUUCCAGAGUUCUCUCCCUUGUUUAGCUCCUCUUGCCUUUCUCGUUGCAAUCUCCUUUUCUGUGUCUUGGUUAAUCCCUGAGGGCACCAUGGAGGAAGUGGCCUUUGUCUUGCCAUCGGGCGUCGGUUCUCCCUUGACUCCAUACGAUGUGUGUUAGCAUCUCUGCAAAAUAUGAACUCAUCGGGAACCCGCGCAUUAGCCAUCUCCUCGAGCUCUUCCUGGUUCCUGGGAAAAUACUGGACACGGUCACCGAGCCGAUCGCGAACGUUAAGCCUGCCCCCCAACCGUUCAUGAACUGACGCCCUUCCUCUGAUUGGCCCAUUAAAUCGCCGUUCAUCAUCAUGAUAACGCCGAUCGUUCCUAUCGUACCGAUCAUAACCGUUGCAUUCAGGGCAGUUUCUGACAGUAGGGAGCUUGAUAUUUUCCUCCCAACAAUGGAUGAAAAAUGGGCAAUUCCAAUGAUCCCUGUGCCGAUUCCACUCCUGUCGGCGUCUUUCUUCUUCCCGUUGAUAAUCUUCCUGCUGGCGCCGAUACCGAUCUUCCCGUUGUUGCCAUCUCUCUCGAGGCCUUCUAUGAGUUAUGACGAUGCCAGAUCGAGGAAGCCUUCCUGAGCUAGUUCCUUCCUGGACCAAGCCCUUACUUCUUGCAUCGGCAGUAGUAACUUGAUGCUGAGGAUCUACCGAUGCACUCUUCUCAGCUGUCUCCGACGUUAAGACCUUAGCCUUCCCCUUAGCAUCCAACAUGUUUGUCGGGAAAGGAUGUUGGUCUAUCUUCAUCGGCUUCUGGGCUUUAGAACUGUCAAACUUGAUUCUCCCUGACUCUAUAGCCGAUUGCAGCUGCUGUCUGAAUACUUUGCACUCGUUGGUGUCAUGUGAAGUUGCAUUAUGCCACUUGCAAUAUCUCAUCCUCUUCAACUCUUCUGCCGACGGGAUCACGUGGUUAGGUGACAGUUUGAUUUGACCUUCCUGAAGUAGAAAGUCAAAUAUCCUAUCGGCCUUGGCGGUGUCAAAGGCAAACUUCUCUGGUUCUUUCUGCCCAAAAGGACAAGACAUCGGCUUCUUGUUUUUUACCCACUCUGCCAAACCGAUUACUGGUUCCUCGUCGGAAUCUGAGCUUGUUGCUUCGUCAACAAAUGACACUUUCUUAUUCCAUGCCCUCUUAGGCUCGAAAGGCUUGAUGUCUUGAUCAGAUAUCCUCUGCACCAAAUGACUUAAACUUUCGAACUCUUGAGAUGCAUACUUAUCCCUGAUAUGUGGCAACAAACCCUGGAAAGCCAAAUCGGCUAGCUGCCGAUCAUCCAGAACCAGGCUAUAGCAUUUAUUCUUGACCUCUCGUAUCCUCUGCACAAAUCCCUCAACCGACUCAUCAUUACGUUGCCUUAACUUAACCAAGUCGGUGAUCUUCUUCUCAUGAACCCCCGAGAAGAAGUAUCUGUGGAAUUGCUUCUCUAGAUCGGCCCAAGUAAUUACUGAGUUGGGAGGUAAUGACAUGAACCAAGUAAAGGCCGAUCCAGACAGUGAUGACGAAAAUAGACGGACCCUUAAUUCGUCCCUGUUACCAGCCUCUCCACAUUGAAUAAUGAACCUGUUGACAUGCUCCAUAGUUGACGUGUCGUCCUGUCCGGAAAACUUUGUAAAAUCUGGUACCUUGUACCGAUGUGGAAGCGGGAUCAAAUCAUACGCUGGAGGAUACGGUGUCCGAUAAGAAUAAGUGUUGACUUUGGGUUUUAUCCCAAAUUGUUCCCUCAUUACUUCAGCAAUCUUAUCGGCCCAAUAAGCAUCGGCAUCUUGCCGAUGAGGCGGCUGCGGAUCUGGCACUUGGUGGCGAACCUCCACGUGUCUGUUUGGGACGUGACCUGUAUGGAACAUCGUAUUGGUCACCUGUCCUCCAAUCUGCGGACUACCAAACUGCUGUCCACCGAUUGGCUGUCCUCCGAGUUGCUGUCCAAAAUUUAUUGGCUGGUUGGGAAUUCCCUGACCUUGGAACCCGGGAUAAACCUGCCCUUGCUGGAACCCCGUAGUCUGAUAACCCUGCUGGGGCGAUUGUGGAAAGGCUUGCUGUCCAAGCCAUCCAUUAUUAGCGUUCAUCGGCAUGGGUGCUGCCGAUGAUUGGUAAUUGGGUACCGUCGUUGAAUUGACAUACCCCGACUGGGCCAUAGGCCUCUGUUGCAUCAGCAUUGACUCUGCCGAUGCGUUGGGCAUCUGGAACAUUGAAUCUUGAGGAUUUCCAGUGUGAGGCCUUGCAGUAGUAGUUGUGGUAUACCGAGGACUCUGGUUCACCGGCACAUUGGAAGGUGCCGAUGUCAUAGGAGUUUUGCCCCUCAUGUCAGUUAUCUGUGAUGUUCCCGGCGUCAACUCUGGAGGCAUACCAUAACCCCACCAGUUGGGAGGAAGAGUUAACCCCGACAUUGCCGAUGCCAACAUAUCUGUUGUCAGUUUAUGCUGCCCAACUGAAAUUUGUGGGUUGGUUGCCAUCGGCAUAGAUAGUGCACCAGUAGUCCCCAAUGUACUUGGAGGGACGGCAGACUGUGCACUUGCACUCGUCAAGGCAGCCGAUGGAGCCGUGACCUCUGGUGCCGUGGGUUGAUGAUGGGAAGGGCCCACAUAAUCCGGCGGGAUUUGUCCUUCCUUGAAGGUUCUUGCCACGGCGUUGAAAACCGUGUUAGACAGUACACCAGCUUGGUUAAUCAGCGCUCGAUUGAUGGCAUUGUCAACCAUAUCUUGAAGCUUGCCAGGAUUGGCGUCGAAGGUGACCUGCCGUGGUGCCGGCAGUGCAUCUUUCUGGACCACUUCGCCGCUCCUGUUUAUGCUGAAAGACUUCAGGCAUUGCUGCUUGAACUCUUCCAUGGCUUGGGCAAUAGCUUGCUUCUGCUCAUCCUUGAGGUUGGCUUCCGUCACGGGGAUGACGUUGUCUUGAUCGAGGUCAGAGAUCGACAUGUUGAUCUUGAUCUUGAAUCGGUCCCACUGGGCGUGCCAAAAGAUGUGUUGAUGCGAAACUGAUCUGCAAACACAAAGGGCUAAUACCCGAUUCGAACGUUAAGGCGUGCCAGCCGAUUUGACCUUGCUAUCGGCAAAGGUAAUAACUCGAAUACUUUAGUCCUGACAACAGCGAUGCGCCCGGAUGUCACGGCUAAGAGGUACUCACGCGGAACUUGAGAACACGCCGAGCUUAAGUCGACGAAUUCCUAAGAACUCGUAAUAAAAGGAAAAAAGUAUGACGAAGUCGUCGAAAAGUAAAUGCUGGAAUAUGAGUAAAAACGUGUGUUUGAUUGAUUUCUUGAUAUCUUAUUACAAGGUCCUAGGGUUUAUAUUUAUACCCUGUUCAAAGAGCUACGACCAGACACGAUUAGAAUUCGAAUUCCAAAUUACACGGAAUCCAUGUACAAAACGAUGCAAAUAACUAAGGAAACAAUAAAACUAUCCUUCGUGACAAACUGAAACUCCUCCACAUGACAACUGGCAGCUUCCGGACUCCUCCUUCGCGUCAUCGGCAAUCCCCUUGCCAUGGUCAUCGGCAGACCCUUUUACCUGGUCAUCGGCACCAUAUUACUGCCUGUGGACUUAGUCACAUUCAACCUCUCCCUCAUCGGCAACCAUCCUCACCAGCAACCCGCAUCGUACUGCCACCCUAUCCUGCCAUCCUGGACACGUGCCCAAAAAAUGGUGUCAACAGCCUCCAUACUAGAAAUAAGUUGCAGAUCCACACAAGUAAACUUACAUGCAAGACAAUGGAUUGUGGUGUGUACAAGAUCUUGAAUCUGGGUGGUUCCUCUGCAAAAUCAACUAAGGCAUUAAACAUCGCAUUCACAUCUAAGGCCAGCUGAAUAUGUUCCUUCUCCAAAGAGGGGAAGAGAUGGUGGAUCUGGACUGAAAGAAAGUUUAGCAAGAGAAGUAACCUAAACCUUGAAUCUUUCGGUCCUUUCUCACAUUUGCCUAGUCAUUUCAGCAACCAAGAUUAAAAGAGUACAACAAAAUUAGUUGUGCCCAAACCUUAAUACACUAUGGAAUGGGAUGAUCGGGAAGGGAAAACGAAGCUGACGCACCUGGAUGCGGAGGGGGUGGGGAUGCGACGGUUGCAGCCCUCUUGCUUGCCAAUGGUGGGAUGGGGCCAUGGCCGUGUCCGUCGAUGGCCUUGGGCGGCGCCGUGGCAGGGAAAUUAGGGGCAGCUGGCGGUUGGGGGCUGGGGCGGCGCUGGGCGGUGCGGAGCUGGGGUGGCACUGGGGCAGUGGGGAGCUUGGGCGACAAUGGGGUUGGAUCUGCGACCUAGCGGCAGGGUGAUUUUUUUAGAGGAGGCAGUGGGGAGUCUGGGUCUGGACGGUGGGUGGAUGGAAUGAAGGCUCGUUUCCUAUUUUAGUGGGAUGAAUAUUUCCCUCCCACCGUGUGUUCUGUUUUGGCGCGCUAUGGUUUUUUUCACUUCUAUCACCUGUGCAGGAGCCCAUUCUAUCUCCCGCGCGCAUAUAUAUUUGGGAACCCCUGUGUCCACCCUUCGACGACACAUCGAGUGUGGUUUCAUUAGGCUACGACGACAGUUUUCAUGUUUGCAAACUUUUGCUGAUAGUUUUUUCAUUGGGAGGAGAGCCUUAUAUGAUACUACAGUUUAGGGGGCGCUAAAAGAUGACACAAUUGCCAACACGUAGCGUGUUGUUACAACCUAUAAUUUGCCAACACAUGAGUGUUGGGACAAGUGGGUGAUGGUGUAGUGAUGGUUUUGAAAGUUUAGGGGUAAGAAAUCUCGGUUUUGAGUUUGAAGUGGAAAAUCAGACUACAUAGAUAGGUUUGCAUGGUCCUGUACCUUUUUAAAUAUGUUUGGGAGGUUGGGUAAGCCGAUUCCAUACAUGAAGCUUGCUGAUAGUCUAAAAGGAAGCGCUGCCAACAAAACUCGACAUAACUUUCAAGUUUGAUUAGGUUUGUCAUGUUAGGUAGCCUAGGAUAAAGUGUGUGUGUCCAAACUUGAAUCGUUUCUGAAUUUACCUCAACACCAAAAUCUUCAGUCAUUCCAAAAAAAAGCUUCAAAGGUUCCUCUCACGUCUUCUUGUUCUUUCAUGCUUUAACAUAACUAUUGUGGAAGAAGUUUUGUCUCCUGGUUUUUCUUUAGUUCUUGUUGCGAUGUCAAGCUAGAGUCAUUGGAGAAUAAAUUCUCCCUAUUUACAAUCACUGCUAGGGAAGUAGUGACAUUGACAUCAGCACCCGUGUGUCCCCUCCAUGAACACUGAUUUUGUCACGAGAGAAAAAUCGAAUAAGUGAAUGGGUGCAGCGACCACCUUAAACUUUUAACCUCUUAUUUCAUUGGAUGCAUCCACAGUCCUUAAUGGAAAAGGUAUGCAUCAUAUGCAAUAUCAAGAUUUAAGAUGUGUUGCAUUUAUUUGUUUAUUGCCAGAAGAUAUCAAAUCAUACAGGCAAGAUAGUUCAACAUUAAUAUAUGAGGAUACAUAUAUCUCCGUUGUGGAUACCUAUAUAUCUAUAUUGUGGAUACACAUAUUUGACAUUAAGAAGUGCCGCUGCAUGUAUCCCCAUAUAUAUAUCUCUAUUUUAUAGAUAAUAAUAUUUAUAUCUAUUGUGGAAUCAAAUAUUAUAUAUUAAGAUGUGCCGCUGCAUGUAUACAUAUCUCAACUCUUAAGAUGUGUGCCGCUGCUUGUAUCCCCAAAUAUAUCUCUUUUUUUUAGAUAGUGAUAUAUAUCUCUGUUGUGGAUACAUAUAUCAACCUAUGUGUCACUGCAUGUAUAUAAACCGGACUGAGCAAGGCAGUAUGCAUAGUAGAAUACAAGUUCAACAAAUAUACUAAUACUGUUCUUCUCCACUUGUCACUCGCUAGCAUGACAAAAAUGAGGACAGAGUGCGCCGCAGCGCUCUGCAUUGUCCUGGUGAUUAUGUCUUCAACCCUCUCAUCCUGUAAGUAUAUAAGUCCUUUCAUACUUGCAAUAAUUCCACUCAUGCAUGGUUUAUAAAGUCAGCUUUCGAUGUAUGCAGGUGCGAUUAUAGGUAUCCCAUUACCUGCAUGCACUGCGGAGCUUUGCCAAACAAAAUGCUUGGACUUUGCCAAUAAUCAUAACGUAGUGGUAAAGAGCUCCCACUGUGCGAAGGCGAAUUUUUGUAAUUGCGAGGUAGCUCCCAAACAGCGUCUGCCCCUUACCAGAGAAGUCAAGGGACUAGCUGAUGCAGAGGACGAUAAUUGAUCUUUUAUGUGAAUAUAAUAUAUGACACCAAUGGUGGAUAGGGUCGUUAAAUGAUGGCAGACAAUACCAAACUGCUAGCUCUUGCAUGUAAUUUAUCCAUGACCUGUUUCCUUCUAGGUCUAAUAAAAUAAUUGCUCACCUUUUUUAUACGAUUUGCUCAACCAAUGUAUCCACCAUUUUGGUUACAACAAAAUUACUUCAGGCCAUACUGACUUCUGUACUUCCAAAUAGACCUGGUCAUUGGUCGAGUUAUGAAAAACCCGACCAAGAAAUUCUUAGUGCGCCACGUCGGUCAACCCGACUAUUGCACACGACGUUGCCUGACACCCAAUGACCCAUUGGCAGUUUGUUCUUCCUAGU
This 30208-nucleotide long non-coding RNA is filed under the name Sorghum bicolor (sorghum). Its description in RNAcentral is "long non-coding RNA (SBIC_LNC009532)". Lineage: Eukaryota; Viridiplantae; Streptophyta; Magnoliopsida; Poales; Poaceae. The record is from RNAcentral.